RNAcentral lists this unclassified non-coding RNA (2037 nucleotides) under Harpegnathos saltator (Jerdon's jumping ant). Its description in RNAcentral is "trace amine-associated receptor 4, transcript variant X1". Lineage: Eukaryota; Metazoa; Arthropoda; Insecta; Hymenoptera; Formicidae. The record is from RNAcentral.
UGGAAAAUUUCAAAAGGACUCCUCCGGCCGCGAAAUCCUUUAGUUCGCCAUCGACGUUCACCCCAUCCGUGUCGCAUCGUAUUUUAAUGAGUGAGAGGAAGCCGUAAGAUCGUGUACGAUAACGGCUGCAUAUGAAUAACUGACGUCACUGACGGCCAAAGACACGGCGGAAUUACGUCAGGGAGAAGAUCGCGAGGAGAGAAAAAAGAAAAACUAACGCAGACGGAAACUCCCGGACCGACAUUUAUAUGGACCAAGUUAUCGCAAGGAUCUACAGUGUUGACUGAACCUCGUAACAAUUAUUCGAGGACGGACAGCGUAAUCCUGAUUUUAUUGAGACAGUUACAGGACCUCAGACAGAUAAGGAAAAUCGGCAGGCGCGGAUAUUCAAGUUUGUGAAUUAAUCAGCUGAUGUACCGGAAACUCGAGAUGCUCGGUACUGUAAGAAUGCGGGGGCAACGAUACGCGAGCACGUCGACGUCAGGAUAAUGAACAUCGACGGGCAAUCUGGAGAAGUGAUAGGGAAUAAUCAUGCAGCCCGAGGAGUUUUUCGCAACGCAACGUGCGCAUGGCACGUUGAAUUUUCCGACACACGCGACCCCGCUGCUCCACCGAUCGAGGUUCGAAGGGUCGAUCGAAUCCAAGAAGAUGAUAACGAUUGAUGAAUCGGCGGCGGCGGCGGCGGCGGCGGCGGCGGCGGCGGGAGCGGACAUACAAAGUCGUAUCGGACACGUCAACGGUAUACUUUAUUUGUAUGGAACACCGCCGCUGAUCCUUUUCUGCGUUAUUUCGAUCGCCAUAAAUAUCAAGGUUCUUAUGAGCGUAUUUUGGAUCAAACGGCCGCUCAGUCCAACCUUACACAUCAGCUUGAGUCUGGCAGGCGCGGACGCUUUUUCCAGCACUGCUCUGGGCAUAGGACUGAUCAUGAAUAGUUUUAUACCUUAUGGUCUUGGAAUUGAAUUAAAAGGCGUAAGCUGUUUCCUAUUGGCACUUGAAGCAGUAAGAUUGGGAGGCGUGAUAAUCACUGUCUUUCAUCUGAUGGCUCUAGCCAUCAAUCACUACUUAGGCAUCCUCAAACCUCUUCAUUAUCUUUCAAUUAUGACAUACAGAAAUACUACGUUUCUCUUGGUCCUGCUGUGGGUGCUACCAAUCUUCUUCUUCGCGCUGUAUUUUAGUUUAAUCGAAAAUGAAGGUUUCCAGUCCGUAGGGUGCGAGAAGAACGCGUUCUUAUAUCACAAGCAAUUUCGAAUGUUAUUCAGCAGCCUCUUCUUCGGGCCGUUCGCCUUGAUGGUUUGCAUUUACGUUCACAUAUUUUGCAUAGUAAAGAAACAUCAAGCCACGAGACUGCGUUUUCGCAGAACGGGAUCAUCUUUUCGCCCGAGAGCAUCGGAAGCGUUACGUAGCACUUCCAGGCAGAUGGCGAAAAACGUCAAAGCGGUCCACACAACUUUGUUCAUACUUGGAAGCUUCCUGAUCGGCUGGAUGCCCGGAGUAAUAAUGUACAUGCUCGUAUGCGAGGACUGUCUGCUGCAAUUUAAUUGGCUAUCAGGACACAGCACAUUCUUCAUUUACACGAUAAUCAACUGUCUAAUAAUCCUGAAGACCUUGGUGAAUCCAAUUAUUUACGCCGCCCGAAUGCACGAAAUUAAGGCAGCCACAAGGCGAAUGCGCAACUCCUUCUGCGAAUGGGUGACAGCGCUCACCGGUUUUACCACCAAUCGGGGUAUCAAUAGAGUUCAUAGCAGCGAAAAAACACGAAGCAGACAUUCCCAGUCGAGGAAUGGAACUUGUCGAUCUUCGCAUAACGUCAGCGUUCAAAGAGCUCGAAACGGGAGCACUUACACUUGUACGGUUUGUAACGUACGCGAAUGUGGCAAUACACUCGUGUAAAUGUGAGAAACGCUGCGAAAAUAUUUUCUUGUGUUUCUGAACGUUUGUGCAAACAUGAGUCGGCAUGAUCAGCGCUGAAAGAGCGAUAUAAUGGCUACGACAACAUUUUGAUCUUCUGACAGUGGCAAAUAGUCGCUGUGGGCUGCA